Molecule: transfer RNA, 77 nt
Filed under: Bacillota bacterium
Lineage: Bacteria; Bacillati; Bacillota
Also listed under: 1 other name
Description: tRNA-Met
Rfam family: tRNA
About the family: Transfer RNA (tRNA) molecules are approximately 80 nucleotides in length. Their secondary structure includes four short double-helical elements and three loops (D, anti-codon, and T loops).
Source: RNAcentral
GGCGACGUAGCUCAGUUGGCUAGAGCGUUCGGUUCAUACCCGAAAGGUCGAAGGUUCGAAUCUUUCCGUCGCUACCA